RNAcentral lists this ribosomal RNA (509 nucleotides) under uncultured bacterium. RNAcentral's name for it is "bacterial SSU rRNA". It matches the Rfam family "Bacterial small subunit ribosomal RNA", at positions 501 to 1011 of the family's 1533-position model. The record is from RNAcentral.
CUACGUGCCAGCAGCCGCGGUAAUACAGAGGGUGCAAGCGUUAAUCGGAAUUACUGGGCGUAAAGCGAGCGUAGGUGGUCAUUUAAGUCAGAUGUGAAAUCCCCGGGCUUAACCUGGGAAUUGCAUUUCAGACUGGGUAGCUAGAGUACUUUAGGGAGGGGUAGAAUUCCACGUGUAGCGGUGAAAUGCGUAGAGAUGUGGAGGAAUACCGAAGGCGAAGGCAGCCCCUUGGGAAUGUACUGACGCUCAUGUGCGAAAGCGUGGGGAGCAAACAGGAUUAGAUACCCUGGUAGUCCACGCUGUAAACGCUGUCGAUUUGGGGAUUGGGCCUUGAGCUUGGUGCCCGAAGCUAACGUGAUAAAUCGACCGCCUGGGGAGUACGGCCGCAAGGUUAAAACUCAAAUGAAUUGACGGGGGCCCGCACAAGCGGUGGAGCAUGUGGUUUAAUUCGAUGCAACGCGAAGAACCUUACCUACUCUUGACAUCCAUGGAAUCUUGUAGAGAUAUGA